GGAACCUGCCUCAAAGAGGGGGACAACGAGUUGGAAACGACUGCUAAUACCGCAUAAACCCACGGCUCGGCAUCGAGCAGAGGAAAGGAGCAAUCCGCUUUGAGAUGGCCUCGCGUCCGAUUAGCUGGUUGGUGAGGUAACGGCCCACCAAGGCGACGAUCGGUAGCCGGACUGAGAGGUUGAACGGCCACAUUGGGACUGAGACACGGCCCAGACUCCUACGGGAGGCAGCAGUGGGGAAUAUUGCACAAUGGGGGAAACCCUGAUGCAGCGACGCCGCGUGGAGGAAGAAGGUCUUCGGAUUGUAAACUCCUGUUGUUGAGGAAGAUAAUGACGGUACUCAACAAGGAAGUGACGGCUAACUACGUG
Molecule: ribosomal RNA, 369 nt
Filed under: uncultured bacterium
Lineage: Bacteria
Description: bacterial SSU rRNA
Rfam family: Bacterial small subunit ribosomal RNA
Source: RNAcentral